UGCUUUGUAGGCUUUGAUCCUUGGACCAGC
RNAcentral lists this non-coding RNA (30 nucleotides) under Rattus norvegicus (Norway rat). The record is from RNAcentral. Lineage: Eukaryota; Metazoa; Chordata; Mammalia; Rodentia; Muridae.